AACGAACGCUGGCGGCAGGCCUAACACAUGCAAGUUGAGCGCGGGCUCCGGCUCCAUUGGCCUACGGGUGCGUAAAGCGGUGUAUUCUACUCUUUUCUACCGAAUCCUUCUGGGACACUGGGCGUAAUACCGCCUAACCCCCCCCGGCGAAAGAUUUAUCGCAGAAGGAUCAGCCCGCGUUGGAUUAGGUCGUUGGUGGGGUAAUGGCCUACCAAGCCGACGAUCCAUAGCUGGUUUGAGACGAUGAUCAGCCACACUGGGGCUGAGACACGGCCCCGACUCCUACGGGAGGCAGCAGUGGGGAAUCUUAGACAAUGGGGGCAACCCUGAUCUAGCCGGGCCGCGUAAGUGAUGAAGGCCUUAGGGUUGUAAAGCUCGUUCAGCUGGGAAGAUAAUGACGGUACCAGCAGAAGAAGCCCCGGCUAACUACGUG
RNAcentral lists this ribosomal RNA (433 nucleotides) under uncultured bacterium. RNAcentral describes it as "partial 16S ribosomal RNA". It matches the Rfam family "Bacterial small subunit ribosomal RNA", at positions 29 to 507 of the family's 1533-position model. The record is from RNAcentral.